AAAAGUACUGAGUAUCGAGUCAGAGUGAAGAAGACUGUCUACAGGGUUUUCCCUGUCCUUUUCCUGGUGAGGCGACCUCUACAGAGGUGACUAAAGAAGGUCUGAUGAAGGCUCCAGAUGAAGAGGUUUUUGAAUGAAGACGACUGCUAUUGGAUCCAGCUGAGACUCUUCGCACAGUGGGUGGGCCUGGACAUAUUUUCUCCCCUAUCCUGUUUAAUCCCACUUCCCUGUUUUGGUGGCAAGCAUCUUUAUUUCCACCCAACUAAGACUCUGUUUGCUUUCUGACUUUAUUGCAAGAUGAGUAUUUGACCCGCAAAAUGUCAAAAAGAAAUACUUUUGUAUCUAGAGAACAUUUUUACAUCUCAAUGGGAGAUCCAGUGGAUAGGUUUACUGUAAUCCUUUCAAAACCAUGUUAUGCGGUAUUGGAUGUGAAUACUCCUGUGUGUUCUCUUCCAAACCAUACAUGGGCAAUCCUCAAAGCAGUAAGGUGGAACCUUAAAUUUGAGUGCUGGUCCAAACUAUUUAGACUCUUUGGGUCCUUUAAGACUGAGUUAAACAAAACACUGAAAAUACUUUUUUCUUGAUGUUUCUGAAAAUUACCUUUGUUGUAGGUAAGAAGUUUUGAGGGAAGCAACACAUCUUUGUGAGGGACUUCUAAGUCUCAUGAGGGAUCAGUAACUAGUGUUGGCAGCUGGCAUUGUCUCUAAGACUUUCAAGGAUGGGGAACAAUUAAAGAACAAGAUGAAGAACUGCUGGUGUAUUUGGCCAAGAAAACUGAGUUGAAUGGAAUUUCUACAAACUUGAACAGAUAUUGACUUGGACAACAAAGUUAAACCAAAAAAAAGUAAAAACAUAAGGUUGAGUUUAAAUGUUGGACAUGUUAGUUGAAAGGUAAUUUUCUUGAAGUUUAGAGAAAUAGAUAUUGGAACUGCAGUUUGUACUGAAAUAUACCUUUUUCAAUGUCCCAUCCCCCAAUAAGCCUAAAGUAGGAUGACAACUACCAAGCUGUCUGAAAGAGCCAAGAUAGUAAACCUUCUAAUAUGAAGUCAAAGCUCACUCACGAGGUAAAGAAGUCCCACUGUCAAUCAGUCAAAUGCAUUUUUUCAUCAUAAUGAAAGAGAGCAUUAACAAUGUGAUUGCAAUAGCAAACUUAGGAAAUUUGAAUUGCUGAAUAUUAUAGAUGAAAAAUCACUAUACAAAUGAAUAUACUGAGGAAUUAAGUGAACAUUAUGCUAUCAUUCAAUAUUCCAGUAGAUACAAAGAAAAACACUCACAAAGGGUCUCUGUGUUGAGCAUGAGAGCAGAGAGAAGCUCAAAUAUCACAGCACAGAAAUCAAUAUUAAAGCAUGCCUCAGGAACUUAGACCUUUAAGAUAAAAGAGGCCAUCAGAGGGAUAGAUCCUUCAGUCUGGUGAGACUCCAGUCUAAAUUACACAAUUAUGGUAUACAUAACAAAGUCCAGAGAUAUAGUGUGUAAAGAACAGUAGGUAGGUGUGGUUUCUCAAUCUGAAAGAAGACUGAGAGAUCUCUCUAAAGGUGCAGUUUUAUAAGCAUUGCAUAUGCGUAGUUUCAUGAUGUUUUGCAUGAACUCAGUGAUGUCUCUGAAGUACCAAAGACUGAUGCACUUAAUUAACUUGUCAGAAAGAGUCAAUAUGAGUGAGGGAGUGAAAGUUCUUUAACUUGGGGCUUUCAUCUUGUCACUAAAGAAAGGUAAGCUUCAUCCUGCAAAUGGUGGAGCCUUUCUUUUGAUUACUCAGAAGCCUUGGCUUCCUGGAAAUGAUAAGAGAUGCAAAUGUUAAAGCCAUUUCAGAAUUAUGGCUUUCAUUGAAAUAACUGCCAGUAAUAAACACACACACACACACACACACACACACACACACAUAUAGAUACAGGUAUUAUGCCUACGAGGAAGUACCCAGGUUGUUGACCUAAAUAAUUAAGAUUCACUAGUUAGAAGAAGUAGUGAACAACAAACAAAAUCUUCCAGCUAAUUAAUACCUUUCAAUAGAUGUGUACAUUUUCAAGUAACAAAAGUACUAAGUCUUUAUCAUGCACAAUAAGGUAAAAAUUAGACGCAAUUGGCUGCAUAAUUUAGAAGAUACAUAUGGUGGAUUACUUAAGAAGUUCAGUACAUCAUCUUUGGAGAAAGACCAAGUAGACAAGUAAUGCUGUUAAUUUUUAUUAUUUGUUUUGUCAAU
Long non-coding RNA from Phyllostomus discolor (pale spear-nosed bat), 2197 nucleotides. RefSeq lists it as uncharacterized. The record is from RefSeq and is a predicted model, not a curated record. The transcript has 2 exons. Lineage: Eukaryota; Metazoa; Chordata; Mammalia; Chiroptera; Phyllostomidae.